This 253-nucleotide ribosomal RNA is filed under the name uncultured bacterium. RNAcentral's name for it is "partial 16S ribosomal RNA". It matches the Rfam family "Bacterial small subunit ribosomal RNA", at positions 524 to 776 of the family's 1533-position model. The record is from RNAcentral.
UACGAAGGGGGCUAGCGUUGCUCGGAAUUACUGGGCGUAAAGUGUGCGCAGGCGGCCGAGCAAGUCGAGUGUGAAAGCCCCGAGCUUAACUUGGGAACUGCGCUCGAAACUACUUGGCUAGAGUGUGGCAGAGGGAGGUGGAAUUCCACGUGUAGCGGUGAAAUGCGUAGAGAUGUGGAGGAACACCGAUGGCGAAGGCAGCCUCCUGGGCCAACACUGACGCUCAUGCACGAAAGCGUGGGGAGCAAACAGG